CUGAAAGUUCCCUUUGACUCCUAGAUUUGAAGAGACUUAGCCUGCUUCCUGCCUCCAAUUGCUCUGCUAAUUUAAUCUGCUCAGUCUCUGAAGAGUCUAAAUCAUUGGCCUUUGGGGAUCUUAAGAAGCUGAGCGGCCCAGUGGGAGGUCCCUGCAUGGAGUUGUUCCCAAGCACAAUGCACAGCAGAGUGCUUCACCUGGGAGGGCUGGAGCCCGCCCUCAUUUCCAAAAGCAGCCUUCAGGAGCAGGGACCCCAUCAGCCACUCUGUCACAGUCGACGGAUGGCCAUUAGCUCUUUGGGACCCUUUGCUUUGUUACUCAGCAAAUCCUUCUUGAGUUUCCACAAUAUGCCAAGCACUGAACCAGGCCUAGAGUUUACGAUGAUGAAUAAGCCAGCAAGGACACUGACCACAUGGAGCUCCAUCUUCCAGUGGAAAGAAGCUUCUAAACAGGCGCAGUGUCAACCAUGAACUUGUUUGCUGAAUUACAGGUUGAUGGGUAUGUUGUGCUUCUUCCAAAGGCAUCCAUCUUGAGCCCUCUCUCUUCAGGUUCCCCAUGUCUAUAGUUCCGUAUCCCUGGCACCGUCUUUCCAAACCAAUGCACAGCACCCCCGUUCCCCCUAAACACACAUUCCUAGUUAAUUCCUGCUCAAGUCUUAGCUUAAAGAUCAUAUCCCUGUCCAGCCUCCCACCCUGGUAAGGACCCCUCCAACGUGCUCCCAUAGUCAUUCCAGCAGUACUACCAAGUACUUAAAAAGAAAACAAACCCAGAAUUCCUUUUUUGGUGUUCUGUUAUUUUUUUCAUCCGUUGCUUUUGUUUUCAUGAGUAGGUGCCAAAGCUGUCCAAUAGAACUUUCUGCGAUAGUAGAAAUGUUCUUCAUAUGUGCUCAGAUUUCAAUCCAAGAAAUCUGCUGCCUGAGUCUGUGCUCUAAACCACCAUGGAAAACUGCCUCCUGCCACCGAAUAAUUCAUUGCUUCCUUUGUAACUUACCUUUUCUAAGUUGUGUGUUUCUUCCUGUAUUCGUAUGUUGGCUGAGCGGGCGGUAAAGGUCAGAGGAAACUCUCACGCAAGAGGUGAUAUUGGAGACGAUGGAGAGCAGCAGAGAAGAGUUUAUCUGUAAAACAACAGAGAAAGUUCCUGCAGGUGGUGGACACUGCAGACAAGGGUUGAGAAGCAGGAAACAGCAGGACAGCGUCCAGGAGUCUCACACGCAGACAGCUGAUGUCUGAGGAAGACAUAAAGGGAACCCAACACAAAAAUUUCAUAUCCUAUGAUGUCCAUUUUCCCCUCUUUAAUGAACUGGCUUUAACCCUGCAAGACUCUUCCUUAUCAGCGUCUACCUGUGAUUCUAGCGUUUCCCCAACAUCACUUCCAUCAAUUUUAUGAAACACUGCAUCAGGGUUAUUCAGAUCAUGAUGAUUUUUGUGGCCCAAACUAACCAGAGACACUUGGGUAAGGACUACCAGCUUAAGAACUGCCUACAGUUCAGCAUGGCUGGAGUGCUGGGUAGGAGGUAGGAAGCAGUGGGGAAACCCUGGCACUCACCAGUUGGAGACCUUCAGCAAGUACCUCUGACUUUCUGACAUUCCGAUUUCUCAUCCACCUUGAGGAAGCUGUCUCAAGAGGUCAACAAAACUGCACAAAUGAAGACGCUCAACAUUGUGCCGGGAACCUGACCAGCCCUCAGCAAACACUCAUGUUCUCCCUCUGCAUUGCCUUGUAUAUCCUAUAUUACAUUUGAUUGACUGACUGAUAUGUGCACUGGUGAGAUUUUGUCAUCACUCUACCACAUAAGCACAAAACCUGAGAGAAGAACUUAUGUGCUGCAGAGGGACAAAGCAAGGAGACAUUUGUCGAUUUUAAAGACAAGAGUUCCCAAGAAGCUAGUUUCCCAUUGAAUAGAGAGAUAAAAACAGAACAGGAAUGCGAGAUAUUACAUAUGCCGAGGAUGGUAUCUCUGAGACUGAACAGAGCUGGCAUCUGCAAGACAUGCAAAGAUUUUUUAUCCCAGGGCCAAGGGAUUCUGGAAGCCAGCCCUUCCUACAUGUCAUUCAUUCUAGAGAAAUAAAUAAAUUAGACAGUGAAACAGGAGAAUCAGUAUGCCUAAUUGCAGUCUUAAAAUUGAAUUUAUAAAUAAAAAUAAGAAAAU
Molecule: long non-coding RNA, 2149 nt
Organism: Equus caballus (horse)
Lineage: Eukaryota; Metazoa; Chordata; Mammalia; Perissodactyla; Equidae
Source: Ensembl